UGUGCUGCAGAUGUAAAGGCACUCAUAUUUGUAAAAGAAGCAUCACUAAAGCUUAAAUCAUACACUGAACCCCACACUUUAAUAGUGGGAUAACUUAACAGCCACUCUCACCAAUGGUCAGUCAUUGAGACAGAAACUAAACAGGGCAAUAAUGAAACUAACAAAGGUUAUGAUUCAAAUGGAUCUAAAAGAUAUAUAAAGAACCUUUAACCCGAACACAAAAGAAUGUACCUUCUUCUCAGUACCUCACAGAACCUUCUCCAAAAUUGACCAUACAGUCGGUCGUGAAGCAAACUUCAAUAGAUACAAGAAGAUUGAAAUAACCCCAUUCAUCUUACCAGGUCACCAUGGAUUAAAGCUAGACUUCAACAACAACAGAAACAACUGAAAGCCUUCAAACUCACAGAAACUGAACUACUCUCUACUCAAUGACCACUGGAACAGGGAAGAGAUAAAGAAAUUAAAGACUUUCUAGAACUUAAUUAAAACGAAAGUACAAUAUAUCCAAACUUAUGGGACACUGUGAAAGCAGUGUUAAGUAAGAGGAAAGUUCAUAGCACUCAGUGCCCUCAUAAAGAAAUUGGAGAGUUCUCAUAUUAAUGAAUUAAAAGUACAUCUGAAGGCUGUAGAAAAAGAAAAAAA
RNAcentral lists this long non-coding RNA (642 nucleotides) under Rattus norvegicus (Norway rat). Its description in RNAcentral is "long non-coding RNA NONRATT011516". The record is from RNAcentral. Lineage: Eukaryota; Metazoa; Chordata; Mammalia; Rodentia; Muridae.